ACCUGCAAACACGCCAUCCUGAACAUGCCCGCGCUCAUCUGAUCUCAGAAGCUAAGCAGGGUCAGGGCCUGGUUUGUAUUUGGGUGGGAGAAAUACAUGAACCAAAGAUAACCUGCCAUGCUGAUU
Molecule: ribosomal RNA, 126 nt
Filed under: Erinaceus europaeus (western European hedgehog)
Lineage: Eukaryota; Metazoa; Chordata; Mammalia; Eulipotyphla; Erinaceidae
Source: RNAcentral